CGGAGGAUGCGAGCGUUAUCCGGAUUUAUUGGGUUUAAAGGGUGCGUAGGCUGUUUGUUAAGUCAGCGGUGAAAUCUAGAGGCUCAACCUCGAAACUGCCGUUGAAACUGGCGAACUUGAGUGUAGAUGAGGUAGGCGGAAUUCGUGGUGUAGCGGUGAAAUGCAUAGAUAUCACGAGGAACUCCGAUUGCGAAGGCAGCUUACUAAGGUACAACUGACGCUGAAGCACGAAAGCGUGGGUAUCAAACAGGAUU
This 254-nucleotide ribosomal RNA is filed under the name uncultured bacterium. RNAcentral's name for it is "partial 16S ribosomal RNA". It matches the Rfam family "Bacterial small subunit ribosomal RNA", at positions 526 to 779 of the family's 1533-position model. The record is from RNAcentral.